GUCCGGGUGGACCGGCUGGUCGCGGCCAGGGUCGGGCUGGGCGGGACGAUCCUGGACCGCAGGGAGGCGGUCCGGGCCCGCGCCGGGGCC
Molecule: transfer RNA, 90 nt
Filed under: Microtetraspora sp. NBRC 13810
Lineage: Bacteria; Bacillati; Actinomycetota; Actinomycetes; Streptosporangiales; Streptosporangiaceae
Description: tRNA-Thr
Source: RNAcentral